GACGAAGGGGGCUAGCGUUGUUCGGAAUUACUGGGCGUAAAGCGCGUGUAGGUGGUUGUCCAAGUUGGAUGUGAAAGCCUUGAGCUCAACUCAAGAAAUGCAUUCAGGACUGGGCGGCUAGAGGACCGGAGAGGAUAGUGGAAUUCCCAGUGUAGUGGUGAAAUACGUAGAGAUUGGGAAGAACACCGGUGGCGAAGGCGGCGACCUGGUCCUUUUACUGACGCUGAGGCGCGAAAGCGUGGGGAGCAAACAGG
RNAcentral lists this ribosomal RNA (254 nucleotides) under uncultured bacterium. Its description in RNAcentral is "partial 16S ribosomal RNA". It matches the Rfam family "Bacterial small subunit ribosomal RNA", at positions 524 to 776 of the family's 1533-position model. The record is from RNAcentral.